CAUAAAUGUAUUUACAAACAAAAGUAAUAAUUAUAUUAAGAAAGAAAACGGUAUUGAACAACACAACCAUUUAAAAUACACAAUAUUUAAUGAACUUAAUAUGAAAUACAGUCAAAAAAGAAAUGAUGAGUGGGGUUAUAAUACAAACGCAAAUAUUACAAAAAUAAAUUCUUACUAUAAUGAUGAUAAAGAUAAUGAAAUAAUAAAAAAAGAAGGUACGUAUUUGGUAGAAAGGAACAGAGCUGGUAAUAUUGUAAUAGGUGAUAACACCAUAAUGGGUGGUAAUAUAAAUGAAACUAGCAUAAUGAAUAGCAACAUAAUUAACAAUACAAUGAAUAAUACUAUACAAAUAAUGAUGAAUAAUAAUAGUAAUUGUAAUAGCAACAAUACUUAUGUUAAUAAAAAAAAUUAUCCAGAUCAAUCGAUACACGUUGAUGCUAUAUAUUACAACACACCAUCUAACAAAAAUCCGAACGAACAUAUAAGCAAUAGUAACAGUAGAUAUAGCAACAGUAACAUCAGUUAUAGUAAUAGUAACAGCAGUUAUAGUAAUAGUAACAGCAGUUAUAGUAAUAGUAACAACAGUAACAGUAGAUAUAGCAACUGUAACAGCAAUUAUAGCAACAGUAGCAGCAAUUAUAGCAACAGUAGCAGCAAUUAUAGCAACAGUAGCAGCAAUUAUAGCAACAGUAGCAGCAAUUAUAGCAACAGUAGCAGCAAUUAUAGCAACAGUAGCAGCAAUUAUAACAACAGUAGCAGCAAUUAUAGCAACAGUAGCAGCAGUUAUAGCAACAGUAGCAGCAGUUAUAAUGGGGAAUUAGAUGUAGAAUAUGCAAUGUAUACAAAUAGUUAUAAUAAUAAAGAAGAUCUAGAGAAAGAUGUCAUAUAUAAAUGUGAAGAUUCUAUACCGCUUGGUACCAUUUUAAAUAUACAUAAUUUAGAUAGUAAUAAUAAUAAUAUUUUUACUACUGUUAUGUUAAGAAAUAUACCAAAUAAAUAUACACGAAACAUGUUAAUGGAUGUUAUGAAUAAACAUUUUAAAGGGUUAUAUGAUUUUUUUUAUUUACCUAUUGAUUUUCGUAAUAAAUGUAAUGUUGGAUAUGCAUUUAUAAAUUUUAUUCACCCGCAUUAUGCUGAAGUAUUCAUUAAUUUUUUUAAUAAUUAUAAAUUAGAUGCAUUUAAAAGUAAUAAAGUUUGUACUGUUACAUGGGGGAGAGUGCAAGGAUUAAAGGCAAAUAUAGAGCAUUACAGAAACUCAGCUAUUAUGAAUGUAGCUAUACCACAAUACAAACCUAUGCUUUUUCAGAACGGCAUUUCUGUUUCAU
Molecule: long non-coding RNA, 1325 nt
Filed under: Piliocolobus tephrosceles (Ugandan red Colobus)
Lineage: Eukaryota; Metazoa; Chordata; Mammalia; Primates; Cercopithecidae
Description: lncRNA (ENSPTEG00000010536.1)
Source: RNAcentral